Non-coding RNA from Aegilops tauschii subsp. strangulata, 3534 nucleotides. Lineage: Eukaryota; Viridiplantae; Streptophyta; Magnoliopsida; Poales; Poaceae. The record is from RefSeq and is a predicted model, not a curated record.
CCUGCCUCCCGCACCGUUCGCCUCCCACGCCGGCCGCACGCCUCCCCUCCCUCGCCGGCCUGCCUCCCGCACUCGUUUGAACGCCGCCGCCGCCUGUUCUCUUGUGCUUCCCGGCAUACACAUGCGACCGUGAGCAGCCCCCCCCCCCCACCGCGCGGCGGUCCUCCUCUGCUGCCCCGAGAACGCCGCUGCCCACCGGUCUGCCUCUCUGCUGCCCAAGAACGCCGCCCGCUGGUCUGCCUCCGCUGCCCAGUAUAUGAUACAGUUUUUGUUCCAUACACAGUAGAAUUUGAUGCUUGUGGUUAUGAUUGUACGCAUUAUGUUUGUAGCUGUACUAGACAGUGGUGAAGAUCAGUCAAUUUUGCGGCAAAAGCAUAUUUGUAGACAAUAUUCAGGGUGGUGUUGUGGGUGCAUUCGUAUAUUGCUAUUUUCCAAAGUGUUUUUGUGACAACGAAAGGAUUGAACAUCAGUCAUGAUCAUUUUUAACCUUGUUUUUUCACUUUGUUUGGUGAUUACAGUACAAAUCCGCGCGACCGUGCAAUAGUGGACAGCUUACACAUUUAAUCAUAAUUGUUCUGCUCAAUUGUGACACUCUGUAUUUCUAGGACUCUAUUUGAAACAUGCUUCUUUCUGAAACCCUAUCAAGGUAAAGACAUUCUUCUUUGUCUUUCACUGAUUCAAGUAGUAGGGGAAAAAACCUUCUCACUCUUUACACAGAUUUGCUAUAUAUAUGGGAACCAGGUGGAAGUAUCCUCCACAUAUUAGUCGAUUUUAAUUGGUUUGUACAGGUGCCACUGAUACAACACUCGACGAGUUCGAUUUGGCGCAGGAUCAAAGUUGUUUGUUGUUCUGUUCCAUGAUUCCUAGGAUUUUUUUGUCUCAUCAAAGGUGGCCACAUUAAGAUUCAGAUUUUUUUCACUUAAUGAUGAGAUGUUUAGUCAUCCUCCUGGGGCUCCAAUCUGUGAGUAUGUUGGUGUUUUGAGGAGGACUGAACAAGUGGAAGUUUUGCUACAGAACAACUUCAUAUUUGUCAUUGACUGUCUUGAAACUAUGAAGGGUUUAGAUGACGGGAGAAAGGGCAGGGCUUGAUAUGCAUAUGCCAUCACUUCAAGCUGAGAAUAAUUCUGAGGCACCAACGGCACCGGAGUACUGCAUUGAUGUUGGCUCUGUUGGAAGUUUCGCAAGGUUCAUAAACCACAGCUGCAACCCUAACCUCUUCGUCCAAUGUAUCCUAACCAAUCACCACGACGUCAAGCUAGAAAAGGUGAUGCUUUUUGUUGCAAACAUGAUACUUCCACUUCAGGUGCUUUGAUAUGACUAUGGCUAUGUCUUGAACAGUGUCGUUUCUGCGGAUGGUGAAAUCGUCAACCUGCCAUGUUACUGUGGUGCCCCAGACUGCCAGAAGCGACUCUACUAGCGGAUCUCCUCCGUUUGGGUUCUGGAGGAAGCAGGAUUAUAGGUAGUAUUGGGGGGAUGAAUGUGGCAAUGCCUGCUGUGUACAUGACAAGCAAGACAUCCUAUAAUUAUUAGUGAAAGAAGUGUGUUCUCAUUUUGUGUAGGGUAGAUGGCAUGCUGGACAUGCUAAUUAUAUUUAGAAAAUAAAGUUUGCCUGGGUGACACGCCCGCUGGUCACGAUGGCAUGAUAUUUUGUGAACAACUCAUCCAUAUAAGUUGAUGGAGGAUUUAACAGGUAGCACAUGACAUCGACAGCUGCGACGUCGGGAACUCCCUUGCAGUUGUCGAAUAUGUCAAUGAAAUUUACAGCUUCUAUAGACGGACCGAGGAGUUGUGCUGUGUGUCCCCCACCUACAUGGCACACCAAACUGAUAUCAAUGAGAAAAUGCGCGAUAUUCUGAUUUACUGGUUGAUUGAGUGAUGGAUGGUUUCAAGCAAAGAAAACAGUGUCAUGUUGUACUUGUACAUACUGGAACUGUAGGCAAAACAAAGUGAUGGAUGGUCUACAAGAUGAUCUGGAUGAAUUCAUCUCCAGGGUAAAUGAGCCAACCAGUGUGCAUGCCGUUUGGUUGGAAAUAAUAUUGGCUCGAAAAUGUAUGAGUGCAUUAUUGACAUCUGACAUCGCCAAAUCCGUCGUUCAUGCUUCCUUGUUAAGCAUAUCUUUGUAAAUUCUCCUGGGGACAAAAAGUAUAACUUGCUAUUUGCGACAUUCCCACUACAUGAGGUUCACAUAUAUAAUCGUCUAUUUUUUUAGUUUGUGAUCAAUCAAAAUGCUUAGAGUUUUUUAAAGCACCAUCAAUAAUCUCUAUUUAUAUAGAGAUAAGUAAUGAAAACAAUAGCAUUCAACAACUUUAAACCUAACUCUCAGUAGCUGCCUGCAAAUGUGGUCCAGACCUCCCAUGCUAACUUUGAAAGUAUGGUACCAUGUCAUAUGAUGAAUGUUUAGCUUGGUUGUUUUUUGUUGUUGUCAUUUUCUUACACUAGCAUCAAGAACUAUAAGAAUAUGGUAGUAUGACAGACACGUAGGCAAGGUGUAAUUGAUUGGGAGUGGAUGUAUUUUUAAAAAAUGAAUUAGUCGAGUGCAAGCUUACUAGUUACUAGAUAAAGAUAAACAAAAGUAGAAACAAGAAACAACAAAGAAAAGCUAACGGAUGAAAGAAAAAAAAUACAUGGCUGCUUGAGGCGAGUCGUAUGUUCGUCUUGCUACGAGCUGAGACACAGACGCUCCCAACGUGGAUAUCCAGAGCCCAUGCAAAAGCACGCACUAUGAUCACGGCUGAGAGAGAGAGAUGACCAAAAGCAAGAACAAAGAGCAAUUAAGAUGUUCAUGGAUGCGGGCCAACCCAGUAAUAAUUGAGAAAAUUAAAAAGAAGUGAAGAAAAAGGAGAAAGAAAAAAAUGAAUCACGAACCUUCCAGAAGGUUUUCAUUUUUUUUGAGACAAUUCCAGAAGGUUUUCAAAACCGGAAACCCGGGAUCGCAUGAACCAUUAAUGGGCCGGCCACCUCAAAACACUCUUUGAUCUCUUUGUGCGUGUCCCCGACAAUUUGCUGCAGUGAGUGCCAAAUAUGAUGUUUUUUUUUCUUUUGGGAGCAGUUUCAGAAAUCUUCUGUGGGCCGGUUUGGAUAGGUUUUUAGAGCUUCCGCACGGAUAUUUCCCAUGUUAUAUUUUUCUGUAUGUUUUCUAUAGCGGUUUUCAUCAUGGUUAUUUUCUUUUGGUUUUCACUCGUUCUUUCUAUUCGUUUUUAUUCUCUUCUUAUUUUUCCUAUAUCUUCAUUUUAAAAAUGUAGAAUAUUUUUCAAAUACACGAUGAACAUUUUUAAGAUACACGUUGAACAUUUUAUUUUCCAAAAACACAUUAAAUUUUACUUAAUUCACGGUGAACUUUGUCUUUAGCAUAGAUUGAACGUUUUUUAUAAAUCCCAUGAAAUUUUGUUUGAAUGUGCAAACAUUUAUUAACUUUAAUGUCAUGAACAUAUUUUUUUAAAUCUCAGUAACAUUAUUUAAUUGAUACAAAACACUUUUUAAUUACAAUAAUACUUAUUCUAAUUGUAUUAUUAUUACUUUAAUGUCAUGAACAUA